AAAUUGAAGAGUUUGAUCAUGGCUCAGAUUGAACGCUGGCGGCAGGCCUAACACAUGCAAGUCGAGCGGUAGCACAGAGAGCUUGCUCUCGGGUGACGAGCGGCGGACGGGUGAGUAAUGUCUGGGAAACUGCCUGAUGGAGGGGGAUAACUACUGGAAACGGUAGCUAAUACCGCAUAACGUCGCAAGACCAAAGUGGGGGACCUUCGGGCCUCAUGCCAUCAGAUGUGCCCAGAUGGGAUUAGCUAGUAGGUGGGGUAACGGCUCACCUAGGCGACGAUCCCUAGCUGGUCUGAGAGGAUGACCAGCCACACUGGAACUGAGACACGGUCCAGACUCCUACGGGAGGCAGCAGUGGGGAAUAUUGCACAAUGGGCGCAAGCCUGAUGCAGCCAUGCCGCGUGUGUGAAGAAGGCCUUCGGGUUGUAAAGCACUUUCAGCGGGGAGGAAGGCGNNNNNNNNNNNNNNNNNNNNNNNNNNNNNNNNNNNNNNNNNNNNNNNNNNNNNNNNNNNNNNNNNNNNAACCUGGGAACUGCAUUCGAAACUGGCAGGCUAGAGUCUUGUAGAGGGGGGUAGAAUUCCAGGUGUAGCGGUGAAAUGCGUAGAGAUCUGGAGGAAUACCGGUGGCGAAGGCGGCCCCCUGGACAAAGACUGACGCUCAGGUGCGAAAGCGUGGGGAGCAAACAGGAUUAGAUACCCUGGUAGUCCACGCCGUAAACGAUGUCGAUUUGGAGGUUGUGCCCUUGAGGCGUGGCUUCCGGAGCUAACGCGUUAAAUCGACCGCCUGGGGAGUACGGCCGCAAGGUUAAAACUCAAAUGAAUUGACGGGGGCCCGCACAAGCGGUGGAGCAUGUGGUUUAAUUCGAUGCAACGCGAAGAACCUUACCUGGUCUUGACAUCCACAGAACUUUCCAGAGAUGGAUUGGUGCCUUCGGGAACUGUGAGACAGGUGCUGCAUGGCUGUCGUCAGCUCGUGUUGUGAAAUGUUGGGUUAAGUCCCGCAACGAGCGCAACCCUUAUCCUUUGUUGCCAGCGGUCCGGCCGGGAACUCAAAGGAGACUGCCAGUGAUAAACUGGAGGAAGGUGGGGAUGACGUCAAGUCAUCAUGGCCCUUACGACCAGGGCUACACACGUGCUACAAUGGCAUAUACAAAGAGAAGCGACCUCGCGAGAGCAAGCGGACCUCAUAAAGUAUGUCGUAGUCCGGAUUGGAGUCUGCAACUCGACUCCAUGAAGUCGGAAUCGCUAGUAAUCGUAGAUCAGAAUGCUACGGUGAAUACGUUCCCGGGCCUUGUACACACCGCCCGUCACACCAUGGGAGUGGGUUGCAAAAGAAGUAGGUAGCUUAACCUUCGGGAGGGCGCUUACCACUUUGUGAUUCAUGACUGGGGUGAAGUCGUAACAAGGUAACCGUAGGGGAACCUGCGGUUGGAUCACCUCCUUA
Molecule: ribosomal RNA, 1444 nt
Filed under: Klebsiella pneumoniae
Lineage: Bacteria; Pseudomonadati; Pseudomonadota; Gammaproteobacteria; Enterobacterales; Enterobacteriaceae
Description: 16S ribosomal RNA
Rfam family: Bacterial small subunit ribosomal RNA
Source: RNAcentral